Molecule: ribosomal RNA, 400 nt
Filed under: uncultured bacterium
Lineage: Bacteria
Description: bacterial SSU rRNA
Rfam family: Bacterial small subunit ribosomal RNA
Source: RNAcentral
GGGGAAUAUUGGACAAUGGGCGAAAGCCUGAUCCAGCAAUGCCGCGUGAGUGAUGAAGGCCUUAGGGUUGUAAAGCUCUUUUACCCGGGAAGAUAAUGACUGUACCGGGAGAAUAAGCCCCGGCUAACUCCGUGCCAGCAGCCGCGGUAAUACGGAGGGGGCUAGCGUUGUUCGGAAUUACUGGGCGUAAAGCGUACGUAGGCGGCUUGGUAAGUUAGAGGUGAAAGCCUGGGGCUCAACCCCAGAAUUGCCUUUAAGACUGCCUCGCUUGAACGUCGGAGAGGUGAGUGGAAUUCCGAGUGUAGAGGUGAAAUUCGUAGAUAUUCGGAAGAACACCAGUGGCGAAGGCGGCUCACUGGACGACUGUUGACGCUGAGGUACGAAAGCGUGGGGAGCAAAC